CCCGCUGAACUUAAGCAUAUUAGUAAGCGGAGGAAAAGAAACUAACUAGGAUUCCCUUAGUAACGGCGAGUGAACAGGGAAGAGCUCAAACCGAAAAUCCCAGCGGUCACCGCUGUGAAUUGUGGUCUAGAGAAGUAUAGUCAGUGAUGGCCUUGGCUAAAGUCUGUUGGAAAACAGCGGCAGAGAGGGUGAGACUCCCGUCUUGAGCUAAGAGUCCGUUGCGUACGACUUGCUUUCUAAGAGUCGGGUUGCUUGGGAACGCAGCCUUAAAUGGGUGGUAAAUUCCAUCUAAAGCUAAAUACAUGUGAGAGACCGAUAGCGAACAAGUACCGUGAGGGAAAGGUGAAAAGGACUUUGAAAAGAGAGUCAAGAGUACUUGAAAUUGCUAGUAGUCAAGCGAUAGAGGCUAGUGUGUAGCUAGGCCAUUUUUUCCAUGGGUUGAUGAGUUUUUCGAAACAAGUCGAUGUAUGGGUUCUGUGAGUUUAGCUUUCGUCAGGAUGGGUUUGCUUCGAUCGUUAGGGCUAGACGGAGGGUAAUCUCUCUUGUGAGAUGAGUGCCGCUUAGUCGUAGAUCGCGGUGGACUGAGGAACGAUUCUGACAAGAUGGUCUCUAUUGACCCGUCUUGAAACACGG
RNAcentral lists this ribosomal RNA (633 nucleotides) under uncultured fungus. RNAcentral describes it as "eukaryotic LSU rRNA". It matches the Rfam family "Eukaryotic large subunit ribosomal RNA", at positions 24 to 664 of the family's 3401-position model. The record is from RNAcentral. Lineage: Eukaryota; Fungi.